RNAcentral lists this long non-coding RNA (1143 nucleotides) under Ananas comosus (pineapple). RNAcentral's name for it is "long non-coding RNA (ACOM_LNC019650)". The record is from RNAcentral. Lineage: Eukaryota; Viridiplantae; Streptophyta; Magnoliopsida; Poales; Bromeliaceae.
GAGUAUGAAAUUUGAAAUUGAUUUGAGGAAGGAUGUUUGGAAAUUCUAAAAAUUUUCUAUGAGAAAGGAGACGAUUGAAAAUCUUUAUUUUGGGGAGAAUAAGUUUUUCAAUGUACCUUAACCGGAAUUCAUCUUGAAUUAAAUUCAUAUUAAUUAUCGGUUUUACUCCACCUUUUAUUAUUUUGACGAUAAUUGAUUAUAUGAUUUUUUAUUACAUAUAUUCAUCAAAAUUUUGAAAUCAAUUUUGAUCUCUUGGUGAUUAAUUCAUUUUGGUUGUGAGUGUUGAAUAUGAUUGAUGGAUAUUCGCUAAUAGACUAAAAUUUGUCAAAAUUAUUUUCGAUUGUGAGAUUGUCUAAUUUAGAGGGAGUUUGAAUUAUUAAAAAAAAAAAAGAAGGGAGAAACUCCUAUGUUAUAAAAGAUGUGGAAAGAGUUACAUCCAAAAGGAGUGUGAAAACUAUCACCACAUAUAGGAAAGAGCUACCACCCCGGUCGUCCGGCAAGUGUGUGAAGCUACCACAUGAAGAUUGAGUUGAAUAACCGAAAAGGUUGAAAAACUUUUGAAUAUUUUAGAACUUUCGGAAGUUAUAAGGUGUUAGUUUGAAAAAAAUGCUUCAAGAGCCACCCCCGGUAUUAUAUUAGUUGAAUCUCUAUCUUGAACGGAUUGCGACAAAUUGGUGUCAAUUUUGCCGAAUUUCUAAAAAUUAUUUUUCGUGAACCGUUACAUCUUGAUGAUUUUGAAACAUAAGGUCAAUUUUUAUUUCCAAAUUUUGAUGUUUCGAUAUAUUUUGAAAUCUUAUAAUAUUUUAUCUUCAUCAUAAUGAUUUUUGGAGUACAACUUUUAAUUUUUAUGAAAUUAAUUUGAUUUUGAGGGAUUUUUGAAAGAAAAUUUUUUUUUCAUAAUCUGGCAAAGUGUAUUGGUAGCCACAGUUUUAAAAUCAGUUACAGAUUUUCGAUCUGUCUCCAAACUUUAUCAAAACUUCUCCUUUCUCUUUCUUAAAAACCUGUUACAGGGCACAUUUUUUUCUCGUCGAUAAACUUGGAAAAUGAAAAAGAAAAUAAAAGGGUUAAUGGCUUCUGGAAGGAGCAGCAACAAUCCGAAGAGGCCACAGUUCUUCAAAGUGCUUCUUUCUGGUUUUUUCGAAA